UACGGGGGGAGCAAGCGUUGUUCGGAUUUACUGGGCGUAAAGGGCGCGUAGGCGGCCUCCGCAAGUCAGUUGUGAAAUCUCCGAGCUUAACUCGGAAAGGUCAACUGAUACUGCGGGGCUAGAGUGCGGAAGGGGCAACUGGAAUUCUUGGUGUAGCGGUGAAAUGCGUAGAUAUCAAGAGGAACACCUGCGGCGAAGGCGGGUUGCUGGGCCGACACUGACGCUGAGGCGCGAAAGUGUGGGGAGCGAACAGG
Molecule: ribosomal RNA, 254 nt
Filed under: uncultured bacterium
Lineage: Bacteria
Description: partial 16S ribosomal RNA
Rfam family: Bacterial small subunit ribosomal RNA
Source: RNAcentral